Molecule: long non-coding RNA, 636 nt
Organism: Panicum virgatum (switchgrass)
Lineage: Eukaryota; Viridiplantae; Streptophyta; Magnoliopsida; Poales; Poaceae
Exons: 3
Source: RefSeq, a predicted model, not a curated record
CCGGAGUUCGGUGGCCAGCUGCCGGGGCAGGCGAGCGGACGCCGCGCGAGGCAGGACCGCGUGGGCGCCGCGUGAGGCAGGCGAGCGGGCGGGGGCCGCGCCGCUGCCCUGAGUCCGGUCGACAAGCUCGGCGGCCCGGACAGUGAGUGCUCUGCUUUUCUUUCCGUCCUGCUUCAGUUCCUCAGAUAAGUUUACUGAUGAAGCCUGCUAGACGUGAAGGCGACGGCUUCAACCAUCCAAUGCAAUCUGUUAGUAUGAUUCUGCUUUUACAGAACAUGUAGGCAUGCAUUGUUCUGGCCGAAUUCUGCUCGGCUUGGCUGCUGACCGGAACAGAAGCGACGCCCAGUCGGUGCUCAGAUUGAUGGGCAUGAAAGGCCUCACUCUGAAAAGCCACCUUCAGAAAUAUAGACUGGGAAGACAGGAAAAGAAAAGCACAGGGCCGGAACUUGCCAACGGUAGUGAUCACCACGCGGCUCGACGGCCUGCACUGCACUUGCUCGACGGGCACCGGCGGCGCAUUCCAGUGCCGGCGGCCCCCCUCUCAGCAGCCUCCUCUAGGUGACACCAGCCCGCCGCCACCCGCGCGAGCCGCCGCGAGGGCAGGCCCGGUGGCCGGCCGCUCCUCUGCUCACGGCG